ACCGACUGCCACCGGAACAGUCACUAGUCAGAAACAAGCCUGGAAACAACCGGAGUCGUCCACAGAUAAACCGAGCUUCAUCAUCAUCAUCGCAGUCUCAAACUCGAAACAAUGGACGUUCCAAUAAUGAAAAUAUGAACAGACCUGUGCAGCCUCGUCAUCAUAAUCAAGCACGGCAGUCUCAAACUCGAAACAAUGGACGUUCCAAUAAUGAAAAUAUGAACAGACCUGUGCAGCCUCGUCAUCAUAAUCAAGCACGGCAGUCUCAAACUCGAAACAAUGGACGUUCCAAUAAUGAAAAUAUGAGCAGACCUGUGCAGCCUCGUCAUCAUAAUCAAGCACAGCAGAUUUGGAGGCCCAAAUCAUCUUGAUUAAAGUAAAUUUUGUAACAAAUUGCAAUAGUACUUUUUU
Molecule: long non-coding RNA, 411 nt
Filed under: Daucus carota (carrot)
Lineage: Eukaryota; Viridiplantae; Streptophyta; Magnoliopsida; Apiales; Apiaceae
Description: long non-coding RNA (DCAR_LNC005167)
Source: RNAcentral